AAGUCCUGACAGUGGGCUCUUGGUGGCAGGGUGACUCUCUUGGCCCUGCCCAGGCUGGAACCCAGGCCAGGUACCUGCACUCAGGUCCAGACACAGAGAGGCCAGGCCCAGGGCAGCCAGAAGAGGCCCAAAUAUGCCAGGGCUGCAACAUCGCGUCCCCAGGCACACAGACAAUGCCAGUACUCAAUUCGCUGUAAUCAUGGAAAGCCUGACUGCUCUACCUGGAAUUAGACUUCCUGCUAUGGAUAACCUGUAAACCAACCUCCCUGCCUUCCCUUCGUGGAAAAUUGAAGUUGAUUAUUUAAAAAAAUAAGACUCUGUAUUAAGAGGCCCUGUCAUCUGAAAAUGGAAACCUCACCAACACAAAAUAUAUCAAAAGGAUGAGUAUUCUUUUUACAAAAAGAGUUCCUACUGAGUUAAUUUUAGUGGAUUUUUAGUAAAGCCUUUUUAGACAACUAUAACAAGGCAGAGAGGACUGUUUGAAGGCGGCAGCUUUGAGCAGGAGAGC
RNAcentral lists this long non-coding RNA (508 nucleotides) under Pan paniscus (pygmy chimpanzee). RNAcentral's name for it is "lncRNA (ENSPPAG00000044887.1)". Lineage: Eukaryota; Metazoa; Chordata; Mammalia; Primates; Hominidae. The record is from RNAcentral.